GAAAGUCACCAAGUAGGGAAAUAACCAGGAAUCUUCGUGAUAAACUAGUAUAUAAGGAAGGUCGCAGUUCCAACAAAGAUAUCAUUCCCACUUUCACCAACAAUAACAAAGAUAUAUAGCCAAAAAUUCAAACACUUAGGCACACUUAGUACCACUGCUGUCUGCUUGUAUUAUAUUUUUUCCUUUUAUAAUUUGUUCUUUGUUCAAUUUAACUUGUUCUUGUUCGAUUUAGGUUAUAUGUUUAAAUCUUGUGUAACAAAUCGGGACCGUUUAAUUUAAAUAGAUGGUCGAAAUUAUAUUUACUUAAUUUUAUUAUAUAUAAUCUGAACCGUUUAGUUUGAAAUCAAUGGUUAUGAUUGCUUACUGCAGCAAACUGUGUUGUUUUUCAACCGCAGCUGGCAAUCGACAUCCCAAAGAGAUAUGUAAAAACAUUUGAUUUUUUUUUUUUUUAAAAUACUCCUCUUAUAUUAAGUGUUUAUACAAUUUUUGUGGUAUGGUUUUUGGUCACUCUUUGGUUACCCUUUUCAAUUGAAAUUGAACAAAGAAAUAUCAAACAAUAUUUUAUUUGCAUUAAUUAAGGUCUCCAUUUGCUCCUAAUUCAUCUGACAAUGACUUUUUGUUCAUUUUUGUGUUUUUAUUUCUGAUUAUUUCUUUUGGUGAAGAUGUGGUAGCAUGGAUUUCAGAAUUUGUACAUGGUGAUGAUGGAAAUAUAGUAAUGAGAGAUUUUAUGGAUAAGGAUUUGCAGUACAAAGUUCCCCUAAUUCUUAGUAUUUGAAAUUGUUGUCUUUGUUUUUGGUACAUUGUUGUCUUUGUUUUUUAUGCAUUCAUAUUCUUUUUUUGGUACAUAUUCCACAUUCAUAUUUUAAUUUAUUUGUUAAUAUAUUAAAUGCUGACAUCUUGCUUCUGCCACUUGAAGAAAACAAUAGUGAUGCUCACUAAAAGGCCUUGGUUGGUA
This 955-nucleotide long non-coding RNA is filed under the name Trifolium pratense (red clover). Its description in RNAcentral is "long non-coding RNA (TPRA_LNC011891)". Lineage: Eukaryota; Viridiplantae; Streptophyta; Magnoliopsida; Fabales; Fabaceae. The record is from RNAcentral.